RNAcentral lists this unclassified non-coding RNA (330 nucleotides) under soil metagenome. RNAcentral describes it as "partial contains 5.8S ribosomal RNA, internal transcribed spacer 2, and large subunit ribosomal RNA". The stretch from base 1 to 119 matches the Rfam family "5.8S ribosomal RNA", at positions 35 to 154 of the family's 154-position model. The record is from RNAcentral.
GAUGAAGAACGCAGCGAAAUGCGAUAAGUAAUGCGAAUUGCAGAAUCCGUGAGUCAUCGAAUCUUUGAACGCACAUUGCGCCCGCCAGUAUUCUGGCGGGCAUGCCUGUUCGAGCGUCAUUUCAACCAUCAAGCGCCUCGCUUGUGUUGGGGCCCUGCGGCUGCCGCGGGCCCCUAAAUCCAGUGGCGGGCUCGUCGUCGUACCGAGUGCAGUAAACAUCCUCGCUCAGGGAACCCGACGGGUGCCGGCCGUGAAACCCCCCCUCCUCAAGGUUGACCUCGGAUCAGGUAGGAAUACCCGCUGAACUUAAGCAUAUCAAUAAGCGGAGGA